Molecule: long non-coding RNA, 205 nt
Filed under: Elaeis guineensis (African oil palm)
Lineage: Eukaryota; Viridiplantae; Streptophyta; Magnoliopsida; Arecales; Arecaceae
Description: long non-coding RNA (EGUI_LNC014302)
Source: RNAcentral
GUUCCUACAAUGAAUAUGCUACAGCCAACAUACACUUCAGGGUUCCGGAUGGCUAGAAGAUCGAGUUAUGGUGUAGUCAAACUAUAACACACUCAAGGUGAACCGACGAUGCACCUCAGGUCAAAGAACUAGACACACAACUGCAGCAUCGAGCUAGUCAUCGAUGAGAAGGUAGACUUCCUUAUGACUGCUCGAGGUGGUCACG